This 1119-nucleotide small RNA is filed under the name Oryza sativa Japonica Group (Japanese rice). RNAcentral's name for it is "sRNA Os03g0626900". Lineage: Eukaryota; Viridiplantae; Streptophyta; Magnoliopsida; Poales; Poaceae. The record is from RNAcentral.
AAUAUACAAUAGAAAACUUCCUGACUUAAAUACAGUUCACUAGAAGGAAGCUUUAUACACGGUCGGAGGUUUCUUCAAACAAUUAGAUCGACUACUAACCAAUAAACCAACAGAAAGAAAAAAAAACAGAAAAUAGGGAAAAGAAACUUGAGACAGAUAUCACACACCGGCUAAAAGCAAGAAAAAGAACUAUUAUUAACAAUACGGAAAUGUUUGAUUUCUCCACUGCAAUAUGUGAUCAUCUCUGGAACUUUAUGGCUUCAGAUGAAGUGCUGAACCAAAAACUACUCAUUGCAAAGCCUCAAAAGCAACGAGACUGUCUUCUGGCAUUCCAUUGGAGGGGGAAAUUCUCAGAUUUCAAGUAUCGUCGACUUGAGAAUGGAAGACAAAGCUUGGAAAUGUAGUUGUGAUGUCCCUGCCAAAAUAUUGGAGUGUCAUGUUUUUCAGUAAAGAAGGAUGUCUGAGAACUAGAUUGCGCCAUUCUUCUUUAUCAAUUUUCCCAUCAUGUUUUGUGUCGGCCUCCUCAAAUGUCUUAUCAAUGAUGCUCUCUAUGACUUCAUCCGAAAGAUUCAUUCCCGACUCAGCAAGUGUUGCAACAACCAUUUGCUUAACCUAAUAGGCAAAAAAGGAAACAAUUAAGUAUAACAUAAAAAAGAUAGAAGAUCAUCAAUUUUCUCGUCGAGAGGUGCAUUUGGAUGAAAUACUGAGAGCGCACGGGCAAAUUCUUCGAAUCCUAAAAUACCAUUGUGUUUUGUAUCGAACAAAUCAAAUACCUGCAAGACAGGGAAAGAAAUGCACUCGUUGUUAGCAGAAAGCAAAUUAUCCCACUGACCUUGUUGAUCAGUCCGUCAUCGAUCACCGCGCUGCUGAUCUUCUUGAACAGCUCAUACAACGCCUCAACCUCGCUCACACUAAAGACGGUCUCCCUGGCGAGGAUUUCGGGAUCCUCGAGCCCCUUGGGCUGCUUGAGGUCGAGGUCGCAGCACUUGAGUAGCACGCCGCAGAGCUGCUUCACCCCCUCCAGACACUGCAACAUGGUACGCCUACUCUCUUACUCACCUACCCGCCACCACCAACCAUGCAUCGGCAGCAGCAGCAGCAGCCGCCGCCCGUCCCCGG